RNAcentral lists this long non-coding RNA (808 nucleotides) under Parus major (Great Tit). Its description in RNAcentral is "lncRNA (ENSPMJG00000001594.1)". The record is from RNAcentral. Lineage: Eukaryota; Metazoa; Chordata; Aves; Passeriformes; Paridae.
CUGACUGACCAGCCACCAAACUCCUGAGAAAAUCAGCAUGAAGUGUCAGUCAGGGUUCAGUUCAAGUGACAGCUAAAUUUGCCUCUCUGGAGAUGAAUGAGAGCUGGUGGGCCUGAAAUGCAAACCACCUCAAACAAAGCCUGCCAGUGUCCACACCAGCAAGCUUUUAAAUCAUACGGUAGCCUUCAACCAUUAACACUUCAAACACCGUCUGGCCCUUUGAAAAGGCAGUUCAUUUAUUAAUGUUUCUGUUAAAAGUCCCUUCCUCACUCUGUUCACAGGAUUGCCUCCUGGAUUGUCAGACCCUGGCUUCUCGAUCCCGCUCAAGCAAGGAUGGAAACCAGCUCUGAAAUGCUUUAGGAGGGAUGCAGGAUCCAGAGGUGGGAUGCCAAGGUCUGGAGUCUCGCACCUCCCCUCCAGUUUUGGGAGCUGCUGCCUCACACCGGAGCACUCUGGAUCUGUCUCCCAGAAAUUCAGUGUCUGCCCAGCAACAUCCUGCCCUGAAGGAGAGAAGUUCCCAGCCCCUGCCAAGGAUCAACAUCAAGAACAUGUCCCACAGAGACAAGGCCACACAGCAGCUUCCAUGUGUCAGCAUUCCCACCAAGUCCUUCCAACAGGCAGCCCAAAUUCAGCUCCUCACACACAUAGAGUUACGGAGAAAUUGCUGUCUAACAGAUCCUUUGUGGACUUCCGACCAAAACCAUCCAGUGCAACAAAUGGUAAGUCAUUCAGUGUUUUAUAAACUCAGACCCUCAACCCUAGCUAUUUAUGGUGGAAACUGGCAUAUCAAUAGUUUCUUUUUGGUUAC